This 440-nucleotide ribosomal RNA is filed under the name uncultured bacterium. Its description in RNAcentral is "partial 16S ribosomal RNA". It matches the Rfam family "Bacterial small subunit ribosomal RNA", at positions 338 to 795 of the family's 1533-position model. The record is from RNAcentral.
CCUACGGGCGGCUGCAGUGGGGAAUAUUGCACAAUGGGGGAAACCCUGAUGCAGCGACGCCGCGUGAGUGAAGAAGUAAUUCGUUAUGUAAAGCUCUAUCAGCAGGGAAGAAAAUGACGGUACCUGAGUAAGAAGCCCCGGCUAACUACGUGCCAGCAGCCGCGGUAAUACGUAGGGGGCAAGCGUUAUCCGGAUUUACUGGGUGGAAAGGGAGCGUAGACGGCAGUGCAAGUCUGGAGUGAAAGGCGGGGGCUCAACCCCCGGACUGCUCUGGAAACUGUACGGCUGGAGUGCAGGAGAGGUAAGUGGAAUUCCUAGUGUAGCGGUGAAAUGCGUAGAUAUUAGGAGGAACACCAGUGGCGAAGGCGGCUUACUGGACUGUGACUGACGUUGAGGCUCGAAAGCGUGGGGAGCAAACAGGAUUAGAUACCCGAGUAGUC